UGCCCGCAGCAACCGGUUCCCACGAGCCCUGGGGCGGUUUUGAGACUGGAGGCGGGAGUGGGUUGGACGCGCGUCCCGGCUCCUGAGACCCAGCUGGAGUUUCAGAGUCAGAAAAGAAGGCACAGAUGUAAAACCAGUUUACAUUCAGAAGAAACAGAAUCAAAGAAUGCUCUCUACCUAGCUGCCUCCUCAACAAUGACAGUCGGGAAAAUGUGACCAUCACUGCAUUAGCAGAAAGCCGAGAAACCAUUGGUGAACCGUCCCGACAAACUCCCUGUUAUGGUGGAGCUUACAUUCUGGUGAAAAGGGAGAGACAGCGUGAAUGGGGAAGGGUCAGAGAGAGAGG
Long non-coding RNA from Lynx canadensis (Canada lynx), 346 nucleotides. RefSeq lists it as uncharacterized. The record is from RefSeq and is a predicted model, not a curated record. The transcript is spliced from 4 exons. NCBI's taxonomy places the organism in Eukaryota, Metazoa, Chordata, Mammalia, Carnivora, Felidae.